UACAGAGGGUGCAAGCGUUGUCCGGAAUCACUGGGCGUAAAGGGCGCGUAGGUGGCCCGACAAGUCUGUGGUGAAAGCUCGACGCUCAACGUCGAGUCGGCCAUAGAUACUGUUGGGCUGGAGCACUGUAGAGGCUCAUGGAAUUCCGGGUGUAGCGGUGGAAUGCGUAGAGAUCCGGAAGAACACCGGUGGCGAAGGCGGUGAGCUGGGCAGUAGCUGACACUGAGGCGCGACAGCGUGGGGAGCAAACAGG
RNAcentral lists this ribosomal RNA (253 nucleotides) under uncultured bacterium. RNAcentral describes it as "partial 16S ribosomal RNA". It matches the Rfam family "Bacterial small subunit ribosomal RNA", at positions 524 to 776 of the family's 1533-position model. The record is from RNAcentral.